RNAcentral lists this ribosomal RNA (253 nucleotides) under uncultured bacterium. Its description in RNAcentral is "partial 16S ribosomal RNA". It matches the Rfam family "Bacterial small subunit ribosomal RNA", at positions 524 to 776 of the family's 1533-position model. The record is from RNAcentral.
UACGUAGGGUGCUAGCGUUGUCCGGAUUUAUUGGGCGUAAAGAGCGUGUAGGCGGCCAUUUAGGUCCGGUGUGAAAACUCGAGGCUUAACCUCGAGAUGUCAUCGGAAACCAUUUGGCUAGAGUCCGGAAGAGGAGAGUGGAAUUCCUGGUGUAGCGGUGAAAUGCGCAGAUAUCAGGAAGAACACCAAUGGCGAAAGCAGCUCUCUGGGACGGUACUGACGCUGAGACGCGAAAGCGUGGGGAGCGAACAGG